AACGAACGCUGGCGGCAUGCCUAACACAUGCAAGUCGAACGAGACCUCCGGGUCUAGUGGCGCACGGGUGCGUAACGCGUGGGAACUUGCCCUUAGGUUCGGAAUAACUCCCCUAAAGGGGUGCUAAUACCGGAUAAUGUCUUCGGACCAAAGAUUUAUCGCGAUUGGAUGGGCCCGCGUUGGAUUAGCUAGUUGGUAGGGUAAAAGCAUACCACGGCGACGAUCCAUAGCUGGUCUGAGAGGAUGAUACUCCACACUGGCACUAAGACACGGACCAGACUCGUACGCAAGAGAGGAGAGGGGAAUAUUGGGGACUGGGCGAAGGCCUGAUACAGCAAUGCCGCGUGAGUGAUGAAGGCCUUAGGGUUGUAAAGCUCUUUUACACGAGAUGAUAAUGACAGUACCGGGAAAAUAAGCACCGGCUAACUCCGUG
Molecule: ribosomal RNA, 433 nt
Filed under: uncultured bacterium
Lineage: Bacteria
Description: partial 16S ribosomal RNA
Rfam family: Bacterial small subunit ribosomal RNA
Source: RNAcentral